CGGGGCUCAUUAGGCAGAGCGGGGUGCCGUGAGGUGCCCGCCGCCGACCCCGGAGGCCGCCUUUGAGCCGAGGGGACGGCUUCAUUAAGCGGCGCUAACAAGGCGUACAAAUGCAGGGCCCGGCAGCUUUCUUGCAAUGCCGGUGCCUUAGCAGGGCGCCCGGCUAAUGAGGGUCACUCAAAGGGGCUGAUCAAAUAUUCAAAUUUCCCGGCACGCCGGGAAACUUUUAUGCAAGGCGAAAGUUGAGGCAACUGAGCUGUGUUUACUAUCCCG
This is a long non-coding RNA of Loxodonta africana (African savanna elephant), 273 nucleotides long. It matches the Rfam family "Six3os1 conserved region 5". The record is from Rfam. NCBI's taxonomy places the organism in Eukaryota, Metazoa, Chordata, Mammalia, Proboscidea, Elephantidae.